GCUGGGUAUGGUGGCGCAUACCUGUAAUCCCAGCUACUCGGGAGGCUGAGGCAGGAGAAUCACUUGAACUCAGGAGGCGGAGGCUGCAGUAAGCCAAGAUCGCGCCACUGCAUUCUAGCCUGGGUGAUAGAGUGAGAUUCUGUCUCAA
Molecule: signal recognition particle RNA, 148 nt
Filed under: Gorilla gorilla gorilla (western lowland gorilla)
Lineage: Eukaryota; Metazoa; Chordata; Mammalia; Primates; Hominidae
Description: Metazoan signal recognition particle RNA
Rfam family: Metazoan signal recognition particle RNA
About the family: The signal recognition particle (SRP) is a universally conserved ribonucleoprotein. It is involved in the co-translational targeting of proteins to membranes.
Source: Rfam by way of RNAcentral